Molecule: ribosomal RNA, 301 nt
Filed under: uncultured bacterium
Lineage: Bacteria
Description: partial 16S ribosomal RNA
Rfam family: Bacterial small subunit ribosomal RNA
Source: RNAcentral
CAGUAGCCGCGGUAAUACGUAGGGUGCAAGCGUUAAUCGGAAUUACUGGGCGUAAAGCGUGCGCAGGCGGUUAGAUAAGCCAGAUGUGAAAUCCCCGAGCUCAACUUGGGAACUGCGUUUGGAACUGUUUAACUAGAGUGCGUCAGAGGGGGGUGGAAUUCCGCGUGUAGCAGUGAAAUGCGUAGAGAUGCGGAGGAACACCGAUGGCGAAGGCAGCCCCCCUGGGAUGACACUGACGCUCAUGCACGAAAGCGUGGGGAGUAAACAGGAUUAGAUACCCGCGUAGUCCCUGUCUCUUAUA